RNAcentral lists this long non-coding RNA (1568 nucleotides) under Mustela putorius furo (domestic ferret). RNAcentral's name for it is "lncRNA (ENSMPUG00000030227.1)". Lineage: Eukaryota; Metazoa; Chordata; Mammalia; Carnivora; Mustelidae. The record is from RNAcentral.
UAUCGGCUCAGGUCAUGAUUUUCUGGGGUCGUGGGGUGAAGCCCCAUGACAGGCUCUGCUCUCAGUAGGGAGUCUGCUUGAGAUUCUCUCCUUCUCCCCUCCCCCUUUUCUCUCUGCCUCCCGCCCCAUGUAUACACGCACUCUCUCUUUCUCCGAAAUAAGUAAAUACGUCUUUUUUAAAAAACCUGUAAGGAAGAAAGGGGAAUAAACAUUAAAUAAUCUUUUUCCAGAAGUGUUAAUAGAAUUUGUGGCUGCUUUGAAGAAAUACUUCAUAAAUAUAUUGCCUCUCCCCUCUGUCAGCCACGCCCACACAGACAUUACUCUUCAUGAUCUUAAAUGAAGAAAAUAAUGCAUAACAGGGCAGAUUCCAUGACUUGCCCAAAGUGCAGAGGUUGACCAAUCUCAUUUACACUGCUUCUAUGCAUGAUUGAAUUCCCAUGAGUCAUUUCCAUCUUCAGCAUGAGAGAGAAAGUUCGGUGGAACUAUAUUAAAAUGAAGACCAAACAGGGAGCCUCCAGGCCAGGCUCAGCCUUUCCCUAACCUGCAUCUUCCAUGGCUGCUUUCUCUCAGCAUAGCUCAGGACCUGCACUGUUGGCAUCCUGCAGUCCACAGUGAGCAGAUAUAACGGACUCACAUAAUAUACUUAAAAUGAGACAGAGACAGAGCCAGUGGGGACGGGCAGAAGGAAAGGGAAAAGCAGACUCCUUGCUGAUGAAUACAGAGCCAGACUUGGGGCUUGAUCCUAGGACCAGGAGAUCAUUACCUGAGCCAAAGUCAGAUGCUUGAUGGACUGAGCCACCCUGGCACCCCGAUGAGAAAAAAAAUUUCAACAUACAACCCUUUUCCUUUUCCAUAAGAUGUGUUGAUUGUGUAUUUUUACCGGGUAUUCUCUCACUUGUUCAUUUUGGGACUUGAUAAAAAUAUUCCAGAAAAAAUUAGCUUAAUGUUCAGUGAUAUUAGAUAAGGUUGCCAAUUUGAGGAACUUGAAAAAUAUUUGUGUAGGAGAAAAUUUUCAUCCAUAGUCAAUAUGUCAUAUUCUUACAUAAGAAGAUAAAACAUUUUUUCAAAUGGAUUUAAAAGGCAUAUGACCAUGUUCUGUGCAAAAAAAAAAAAAAAAUGCUUUCUUUAGUUUUCUGAGAACUCAAAAUGACCAAAUAGUUUUUUUGUUCGAAUUGAACUGCAUAUUAACCAGAGGGUUUUCAAAUUUGAGCUUGAGUGGCAAUAUGCCCUGAUGUGGCAAUUGCUGAGAGUUCUCACUGGGCCCAAGUCCAUUGCCGUUUCCUUGCAAAGCAAGACAUCGUCGCUGUGGGUCAGGUCGGCUUCAUCCUAUCACACUGAAGGUUAGCAAAUGAUUUUCCCAGCUGCUGUUUAAACAUCUUAUUUGUCCUUCUGGCCUCAAAGAGAAAUAUUUUUCUAAAAAUGAUGGUGUUAAGUUUUCUGUUUGUAAACAUUUAUUAGAACAGACAGUGAGCGUUCAUCUACUAGAUAACAAUAAACCAAAGGCUUACUCUUCAGUUUUGAUCUGUGGGGUUUUUUGGUACCAAAACAGGUAGUAUAAUACAGUCAGA